RNAcentral lists this transfer RNA (63 nucleotides) under Tachina punctocincta. RNAcentral describes it as "tRNA-Thr". It matches the Rfam family "tRNA". From Rfam's summary of the family: Transfer RNA (tRNA) molecules are approximately 80 nucleotides in length. Lineage: Eukaryota; Metazoa; Arthropoda; Insecta; Diptera; Tachinidae. The record is from RNAcentral. RNAcentral also lists the same sequence under 1 other name.
GUUUUAAUAGUUUAAUAAAAACAUUGGUCUUGUAAAUCAAAAUUAAGAUAAUCUUUUAAAACU